CGGCGGACGGGUGAGUAACGCGUGAGGAACCUGCCUCAAAGAGGGGGACAACAGUUGGAAACGACUGCUAAUACCGCAUAAGCCCACGGCUCGGCAUCGAGCAGAGGGAAAAGGAACAAUCCGCUUUGAGAUGGCCUCGCGUCCGAUUAGCUAGUUGGUGAGGUAACGGCCCACCAAGGCGACGAUCGGUAGCCGGACUGAGAGGUUGAACGGCCACAUUGGGACUGAGACACGGCCCAG
RNAcentral lists this ribosomal RNA (240 nucleotides) under uncultured bacterium. RNAcentral describes it as "partial 16S ribosomal RNA". It matches the Rfam family "Bacterial small subunit ribosomal RNA", at positions 96 to 334 of the family's 1533-position model. The record is from RNAcentral.